AAAAACUUGAUGCAGGGGAAAAGUACUUAAAACGGUUUUGACAGAGAGUCGGUGGUUGGUGUGAACCGGUAUAGCCGUUUAAUGAAUUCCGCCCCUAAGAGGACUGCGAAAGAAUACUAAGCAGCUACGGUUGACUGCCGUUAUACAGUCAUUUAAGCUGGAUUAAGGUUUAGCGGUAGAAUAAAUCUGUUGUUAAACUCUUGAUCAAUUAGGGUGGCAACGCGGGAAAAACCUCUCGUCCCUGGU
RNAcentral lists this non-coding RNA (246 nucleotides) under Desulfofarcimen acetoxidans. Its description in RNAcentral is "Desulfotomaculum acetoxidans T-box sequence". It matches the Rfam family "T-box leader". Rfam says of the family: Uncharged tRNA acts as the effector for transcription antitermination of genes in the T-box leader family. The record is from RNAcentral. Lineage: Bacteria; Bacillati; Bacillota; Clostridia; Eubacteriales; Peptococcaceae.